GUGUGAAGCUAGGGUUUACAACUUCUGCCUCUGAGGAAUGGUUUUUAACCUUUAGUGUGCAGUAGAAGGUAUUGUUAAUGUGUGUAUUUUUAGUUUUCUGUAUAACAUGUUUUAACAUCUCAAAAAACCUUUCUGGCUCGGGAGAGACUGCCCCUACCAGGGCCAGCUAACACCUGAAGAUAAUACUAACUUUCCUAGAGAAUGCUUUUCAUAUGCAAAUGAACAAAUUCCAAGUUCCUCCUGUCUAACCACCUUUUUAUCUAACUUUCACACACCCACCGAUUUUUCCCCUGUCCGAGUCAUCCCAGCGCCAGGUACCAGGAGACUAGAGACCACCCCUAUAGCCCAAAGCCCACCUUAAUUAUUCAUGUAGCCGAUUCUAAAUUGUUUACUCUGCCUUGUCUCACGUUUCCCUGGAAACCCAAUAAAGGCCCUGCUUAAGCCUUUUGGCUCACCGACCACCUGGUGUUUUGCCUUGUGACCCUGCAUGGCCUACAGUGACUCUUUCUGGGAUCUGUGUGAACAGUCAACAUUUUGGUGUCCCAGAUCAACUCUCAAACACUUGGCACACUGAGUCCCAAGGCUGUCACACUAAGAAUGCUGGACUCGACCUCUGGAGUCCUGCUUCACUGUGGCUGCAUAAGCCUAGGUUCGUACAUCUUUAAAACAGGAAUGAAAAUACCCGUCUUACCUAUUUAGGGGGUUACUGUGAGGAUCAAAUAAGACAUGUUCUGUAUGGGGAAAUGCCCUUAAAACUACAAGGUGUGCGUGUUGUCUCACUUUCUCCCAGAUUAUCUAGGAGGCAAAAGAUUUGAAAAGUUCAGAAACAGCAAUAAAUAAAACAUUUCCAGGCCACCUGUCUGGAAUCCUUCAAGCAAUUAGGUAAUAGUCACCAACUUGGUGAGGUGGCCUUCUUUUAAGUCACAAAUUACAUUGUUAGUGUGCCUUAUGAGAAAUAAUAUUGUCGGACAUUGGUGUCCGACAAUUGCAAAAGUGCACCUGGCAGUUUUAUUGCUGCUUGUCCUGUCUUUGAGCUUUUAGCUUUCCCGAAAGGCAGGGAAGUUCCUUUGAGUGUUCUUGGUCCAAGGAGAUGGUGUGGUAGCCUCAGGAAAUUAUUCAUCUGUGUCAGGCUCUCUGAUCCAAUAAUCAAGCUAUAUCCAAGUUGUAAAAAUAACUCCUCAGGUACAUUGGUGGGCAAGGUUGGAAGAUAUUCUUCUUAUGUGAACAGUAAUAUUAAUUUCCCCUGUGUAUUGAAUAUAUAUAUAUAUAUAUAUGCAUAUAUGUGAUACAUAUGGAUAGGAUAUAAAUGUUACAUAGAUAUAUAUGGUACAUGUGUGUGUGUGUGUGUGUGUGUGUGUGUGUAUGUAAUACAGGCAGAUUCCAGGACCCAGUUCCUCUCUUAACCUACACAGUUUUAAAAAUGUAUCUGUCUUGGUUUUACUGAUUCUAUAUUCAAAGGAAACUAGGAUUGUUGAAAUGCUGACUUGCUAUUCAUGUACCUUACUGGAUCUGCUAUGAAAAUUCCUCAGUAGAAAGUAAAAGAAUUGUGGUCCUAAAAUGUGAAAAGAAUAUAGUAUUUUCUGUGGCAUCUUGUGCUUUCUCUUAGAGCAAUUUGUAUUUGCUCUAUACUUAAAUUAUUAUGAUUUACUCCCCCCCCCACUCUCAGUGGGUUUCAGUUAACAUAUUUUGGGGGUGAAAUGAUGAAAAGAAAAAAAAGGAAGUUGGGCAUACAUGUCCUGGAGUAACCUUUCUCUUACCAGUCUUCCUUUUUUCCAGUUUGCAAUUCCAGAUGUUUAGGAAGUAUUUCAGUGCAGGGAAACAGCCACCUCUUUCCCUUGCUAGCUGCUGUUUUAAUCUUUGAGCUUCAAAUUCUUCAUCUGUAAAAUCUUGAUGAUAAAACAUAAUGCAGUGGCUGCAAGGAUUAUAUAAGUGGUCAUUUCAUGGGUGUUCUGAACAUUAAUUCUCCCUUUUUUCAAAUAUGUAAAUAUCUUCCAUAUUGCUUGUUAUUUUACCAAUACGAUUUUUCCUCUGAAUAAAACAGCACAUCCCCAACUCCUUUCUGUGCAAGAGAAGGUACUGAUAAGUUUUCUGUGAGAAAAGGUUUCCACAGUUGAAUACCUUAAGGGAACUGCUGUAUGUACAUUCUCAUCCUCUCCUAGAGAUUCAUAUAUAAAAAAACCUCUGAGAAAUCUGCUUUACUGUGUUUAUCAAUGUUUCCCAAAACUAUCUGACCCUGGGAAAAAACCCAUUCUUUUACUUUCCCCAUGAAAUAGUGAUGAACAUGUCACAGGAAAAUGGAUAGAGUUUGAAGAACACUGAGUAAAUGUACUUGGAGUUCCAGAACUCCUGGUGACUACCACCAGACUUGUCAAAUCAAGAAGUCCAGGGGAAGGGAUGCCCAAUAUCAGUGGGUUACAUUUAGCUUAUCACAUUACCUUACAAACUUUAGCUGUAUAGCUGCGGUCAAUAUGUCUUCCUUCCUCUCCCUAAAGUUUUAGUUUCUCACCUAGGAAAGGGAAGAAAUUUGGAUCAGUAGGAGCAUCUGUUUCACUUCCGUGGCCCAUAGUGGCUCUUUCUCUUUCAAGUACAUAUUACUGAUGUUCUAGUUACAGGACUGUUGUCUCAUAUUCAAAUUUUAAUUCUUCCUCACCCCCUCCCCUCACCUAAUGAUCUGCAUUCUUAUUUCACCUAAGAAAUGGACAUAAAUCAGAAGAGAACUUAACACCUCUCUCUCUUUUGAUUUAUCUACAACUGUACUCAUAUGUUCUGCCUCUACUUCUUUUAUGGUGUUAAGUUCCCAAUCUUUUCACCAAUCCUUUGGAUCUCUUCCCGUCUAAUCUACCUAAGGAUUUUACUUCUAGAAUCAUCAGUUUUCUCUUCUCAACUAGCUUAUUCCCAUUAGCUUAUAAAUACGCUGUAAUGUCCCAUCUUAAAACAAAACUUUCCCUUAACCUCACAAACUCCAUAGUUUUUUCUUCCUUUCUCUGCUUCCUUUUAUAGCAGAAUAGCCCAUCUCUAUACACUGUUCCCAAUUCUAUUCCAAGCCUCCUUUUGCUUACAGAUAUAAACAAAGUAUUAUAUCAUAUAACAUUUGGUAAUACAUAUGAAACUAAAGUUACGAAUCAUAAAAAAAUCAUUACCCAUGAACUUAUCACCUUACUCAAGGACUACACUUUGCAUUUACCUGUGUGCUUCCUCCUUCUCUCACCCUCCUGCCUUCUCAUCUAUCCUUGGUAAUGAUUUAUACAUUUUGUGUUCUUUCAUUUUGUAAAAACAAUUGGUUGUAUUAUGGUUGUUGUAUAUAUAAAGAUAUAACUAUUUCUAACACAAU
Molecule: non-coding RNA, 3331 nt
Organism: Sus scrofa (pig)
Lineage: Eukaryota; Metazoa; Chordata; Mammalia; Artiodactyla; Suidae
Source: RefSeq, a predicted model, not a curated record